UACGAAGGGGGCUAGCGUUGUUCGGAAUUACUGGGCGUAAAGGGCGCGUAGGCGGCGUGUCAAGUCAGGCGUGAAAGCCCCGGGCUCAACCUGGGAACCGCGCUUGAGACUGGCAUGCUCGAGUUCGGGAGAGGAUGGUGGAAUUCCCAGUGUAGAGGUGAAAUUCGUAGAUAUUGGGAAGAACACCGGUGGCGAAGGCGGCUCUCUGGACCGAGACUGACGCUGAGGCGCGAAAGCGUGGGGAGCAAACAGG
This 253-nucleotide ribosomal RNA is filed under the name uncultured bacterium. RNAcentral describes it as "partial 16S ribosomal RNA". It matches the Rfam family "Bacterial small subunit ribosomal RNA", at positions 524 to 776 of the family's 1533-position model. The record is from RNAcentral.